ACAAGCACAAUCACUGACCCACACACAAACAUUACAUACAAUGUUUGUGUGUGGGUCAGUGAUUGUGCUUGU
Molecule: non-coding RNA, 72 nt
Organism: Pelobates cultripes (western spadefoot toad)
Lineage: Eukaryota; Metazoa; Chordata; Amphibia; Anura; Pelobatidae
Source: the annotation of a GenBank genome assembly